RNAcentral lists this unclassified non-coding RNA (391 nucleotides) under soil metagenome. Its description in RNAcentral is "partial contains 5.8S ribosomal RNA, internal transcribed spacer 2, and large subunit ribosomal RNA". The stretch from base 1 to 122 matches the Rfam family "5.8S ribosomal RNA", at positions 35 to 154 of the family's 154-position model. The record is from RNAcentral.
GAUGAAGAACGCAGCGAAAUGCGAUACUUGGUGUGAAUUGCAGAAUCCCGUGAACCAUCGAGUCUUUGAACGCAAGUUGCGCCCGAAGCCACUAGGCCGAGGGCACGCCUGCCUGGGCGUCACACGCCGUUGCCCACCCAUCUACUCCUUCGGGAUUGCGGGGGGGCGGAUGAUGGCCUCCCGUGCGCCUAGCCGCGCGGUUGGCAUAAAUACCAAGUCCUCGGCGACGCACGCCACGACAAUCGGUGGUUGCGAAACCUCGGUUGCCCGUCGUGUGCGUUCCUCGCGCAUCGAGGGCUCGAAAAAAUGCUCGGCUCCGGCUGGGCUUUCAACGCGACCCCAGGUCAGGCGGGGUUACCCGCUGAAUUUAAGCAUAUCAAUAAGCGGAGGA